Molecule: ribosomal RNA, 540 nt
Filed under: uncultured bacterium
Lineage: Bacteria
Description: partial 16S ribosomal RNA
Rfam family: Bacterial small subunit ribosomal RNA
Source: RNAcentral
UGGGGAAUUUUGGACAAUGGGCGAAAGCCUGAUCCAGCAAUGCCGCGUGUGUGAAGAAGGCCUUCGGGUUGUAAAGCACUUUUGUCCGGAAAGAAAUCCUUGGCUCUAAUACAGUCGGGGGAUGACGGUACCGGAAGAAUAAGCACCGGCUAACUACGUGCCAGCAGCCGCGGUAAUACGUAGGGUGCAAGCGUUAAUCGGAAUUACUGGGCGUAAGCGUGCGCAGGCGGUUUGCUAAGACCGAUGUGAAAUCCCCGGGCUCAACCUGGGAACUGCAUUGGUGACUGGCAGGCUAGAGUAUGGCAGAGGGGGGUAGAAUUCCACGUGUAGCAGUGAAAUGCGUAGAGAUGUGGAGGAAUACCGAUGGCGAAGGCAGCCCCCUGGGCCAAUACUGACGCUCAUGCACGAAAGCGUGGGGAGCAAAACAGGAUUAGAUACCCUGGUAGUCCACGCCCUAAACGAUGUCAACUAGUUGUUGGGGAUUCAUUUCCUUAGUAACGUAGCUAACGCGUGAAGUUGACCGCCUGGGGAGUACGGUCG